This 477-nucleotide ribosomal RNA is filed under the name uncultured bacterium. RNAcentral's name for it is "partial 16S ribosomal RNA". It matches the Rfam family "Bacterial small subunit ribosomal RNA", at positions 28 to 507 of the family's 1533-position model. The record is from RNAcentral.
GAUGAACGCUGGCGGCGUGCAUAACACAUGCAAGUCGAACGAUGAAACUUUAAUGAACCCUUCGGGGAGAAUUAAAGCGGGGUAGUGGCGAACGGGGGAGUAACGCGUGAGUAACCUGCCUUACACAAGGGGAUAGCCUUUGGAAACGAAGAAAAAUACCCUAUAAAACCAUAAAAGCACAUGCAAUUAUGGUCAAAGUGAUAGCGGUGUAAGAUGGACUUGCGUCUGAUUAGCUAGUUGGUGAGAUAAAAGCCCACCAAGGCAACGAUCAGUCGCCGGCUUGUGAGCGUGUACGGCCCCCUUGGGACUGGGCCCCGGCCCAGACUCCUCCGGGCGGCAGCAGUGGGGAAUUUUGCACACUGGGGGAAACCCUGAUGCCCCGACGCCGUGUGAUUUAGAAGGCCUUCGGGUUGUAAAAUUCUUUUGUAUAGGAAGAUAAUGACGGUACUAUACGAAUAAGCUCCGGCUAACUACGUG